UACGUAGGGUGCGAGCGUUACUCGGAAUUACUGGGCGUAAAGCGUGCGCAGGCGGUUAUUUAAGACCGGGGUGAAAUCCCCGGGCUUAACCUGGGAACUGCAUUUGUGACUGCAUAGCUAGAGUACGGUAGAGGGGGAUGGAAUUCCGCGUGUAGCAGUGAAAUGCGUAGAUAUGCGGAGGAACACCGAUGGCGAAGGCAAUCCCCUGGACCUGUACCGACGUUCAGGCACGAAAGCGUGGGGAGCAAACAGG
This 253-nucleotide ribosomal RNA is filed under the name uncultured bacterium. RNAcentral's name for it is "partial 16S ribosomal RNA". It matches the Rfam family "Bacterial small subunit ribosomal RNA", at positions 524 to 776 of the family's 1533-position model. The record is from RNAcentral.